GAAUGAACUUGGUGUGGUUGUUGCUGGUCCUUUCGGGGGCAUGUGCACGCCCACCAUCCUCAUCUCUCCACCUGUGCACCUCUUGUAGACUUGGAUUGACUUUCCGAGGCAACUCGGUCGGGAGGAUUGCUGGCAUCAGCUGGCUUUCUUUGCAUUUCCGGGUCUACGUUUUUCAUAUACCCCAUUGUAUGUAACAGAAUGUCAUAUUGGGCCCUUGUGCCUAUAAACCUUAUACAACUUUCAGCAACGGAUCUCUUGGCUCU
This 263-nucleotide unclassified non-coding RNA is filed under the name rhizosphere metagenome. RNAcentral describes it as "partial ribosomal RNA internal transcribed spacer region". The record is from RNAcentral.